AACGAACGCUGGCGGCAUGCCUAACACAUGCAAGUCGAACGAGACCUUCGGGUCUAGUGGCGCACGGGUGCGUAACGCGUGGGAACCUGCCCUUAGGUUCGGAAUAACUCCCCGAAAGGGGUGCUAAUACCGGAUAAUGUCUUCGGACCAAAGAUUUAUCGCCUUUGGAUGGGCCCGCGUUGGAUUUGCUAGUUGGUAGGGUAAAAGCCUACCAAGGCGACGAUCCAUAGCUGGUCUGAGAGGAUGAUCAACCACACUGGGACUGAGACACGGCCCAGACUCCUACGGGAGGCAGCAGUGGGGAAUAUUGGACAAUGGGCGAAAGCCUGAUCCAGCAAUGCCGCGUGAGUGAUGAAGGCCUUAGGGUUGUAAAGCUCUUUUACCCGGGAUGAUAAUGACAGUACCGGGAGAAUAAGCUCCGGCUAACUCCGUG
This 433-nucleotide ribosomal RNA is filed under the name uncultured bacterium. RNAcentral's name for it is "partial 16S ribosomal RNA". It matches the Rfam family "Bacterial small subunit ribosomal RNA", at positions 29 to 507 of the family's 1533-position model. The record is from RNAcentral.